CACCAGACUCCUACGGGAGGCAGCAGUGGGGAAUAUUGCACAAUGGGGGAAACCCUGAUGCAGCAACGCCGCGUGAGUGGAGAAGUCAUUCGUGAUGUAAAGCUCUAUCAGCAGGGAAGAAAAUGACGGUACCUGAGUAGGAAGCCCCGGCUAACUACGUGCCAGCAGCCGCGGUAAUACGUAGGGGGCAGGCGUUAUCCGGAUUUACUGGGUGUAAAGGGAGCGUAGACGGCCAGACAAGUCUGAAGUGAAAAGCCAGCGCUUAACGUUGGAAGUGCUUUGGAAACUGCCGGGCUGGAGUGCAGGAGGGGCAGGCGGAAUUCCUAGUGUAGCGGUGAAAUGCGUAGAUAUUAGGAGGAACACCAGUGGCGAAGGCGGCCUGCUGGACUGCAACUGACGUUGAGGCUCGAAGGCGUGGGGAGCACACAGGAUUAGAUACCCUCGUAA
This 447-nucleotide ribosomal RNA is filed under the name uncultured bacterium. RNAcentral describes it as "bacterial SSU rRNA". It matches the Rfam family "Bacterial small subunit ribosomal RNA", at positions 329 to 793 of the family's 1533-position model. The record is from RNAcentral.